AGAGAGAGACAUGCGUGCAUAUCAAUAAGCGGAGGAAAAGAAACUAACUAGGAUUCCCUCAGUAACGGCGAGUGAAGCGGGAAGAGCUCAAAUUUGAAAUCUUCAAGGUUCUACCUUGACGAAUUGUAGUUUAAAGAAGUGUUUUCUGUUGGAGUUUUGGUAAAAGUUCUUUGGAAUAGGACAUCAUAGAGGGUGAGAAUCCCGUAUUUGACCAUUAUUUCCAGCUUUGUGAUACACUUUCAAAGAGUCGGAAUUGUUUGGGAAUGCAGUCCAAAAUGGGUGGUAAAUUUCAUCUAAAGCUAAAUAUUGGCGAGAGACCGAUAGCGAACAAGUACCGUGAGGGAAAGAUGAAAAGAACUUUGAAAAGAGAGUUAAACAGUACGUGAAAUUGUCAAAAGGGAAGCGUUUGACACCAGUGUUGUUUUCUCGAAAAUCAAUUAAAAAAGGCUAGGAUUUUGUGUUGUAUUGACUUUAUCAGCUUUCUGCACUCUUUUCUUGUCUUUUUUAAUGCACUUUUCGUUUAACAAGUCAACAUCAAUUUCUUUUGUUGUAAAAGGGUCAUUGGAAGGUGGCUUUCUUUUCGGAGAAAGUGUUUAUAGCCUUUGGCCUCUGCAAUCGGAGAGAUUGAGGUCUGCAGCGUAGAUCCUUCGGGGUUAGAUACAUUUGUGCUAAGUUAUAGCCUUUCAUAGACAACUUGUUGACUAUGAUCAGUCAUGUAGCUUACUCGCUUAUGCUAUUUUACCUACGCUUAGGAUGUUGAUGUGAUACUGCGAGCA
This 776-nucleotide ribosomal RNA is filed under the name uncultured Neocallimastigales. RNAcentral describes it as "partial large subunit ribosomal RNA". It matches the Rfam family "Eukaryotic large subunit ribosomal RNA", at positions 23 to 643 of the family's 3401-position model. The record is from RNAcentral. Lineage: Eukaryota; Fungi; Neocallimastigomycota; Neocallimastigomycetes; Neocallimastigales.